AGAGUUUGAUCAUGGCUCAGAUUGAACGCUGGCGGCAGGCCUAACACAUGCAAGUCGAGCGGAUGAGUGGAGCUUGCUCCAUGAUUCAGCGGCGGACGGGUGAGUAAUGCCUAGGAAUCUGCCUGGUAGUGGGGGACAACGUUUCGAAAGGAACGCUAAUACCGCAUACGUCCUACGGGAGAAAGUGGGGGAUCUUCGGACCUCACGCUAUCAGAUGAGCCUAGGUCGGAUUAGCUAGUUGGCGAGGUAAAGGCUCACCAAGGCGACGAUCCGUAACUGGUCUGAGAGGAUGAUCAGUCACACUGGAACUGAGACACGGUCCAGACUCCUACGGGAGGCAGCAGUGGGGAAUAUUGGACAAUGGGCGAAAGCCUGAUCCAGCCAUGCCGCGUGUGUGAAGAAGGUCUUCGGAUUGUAAAGCACUUAAGUUGGGAGGAAGGGCAGUAAGUUAAUACCUUACUGUUUUGACGUUACCGACAGAAUAAGCACCGGCUAACUUCGUGCCAGCAGCCGCGGUAAUACGAAGGGUGCAAGCGUUAAUCGGAAUUACUGGGCGUAAAGCGCGCGUAGGUGGUUCGUUAAGUUGGAUGUGAAAGCCCCGGGCUCAACCUGGGAACUGCAUCCAAAACGUGCGAGCUAGAGUAUGGCAGAGGGGUGUGGAAUUUCCUGUGUAGCGGUGAAAUGCGUAGAUAUAGG
This 696-nucleotide ribosomal RNA is filed under the name uncultured bacterium. RNAcentral's name for it is "SSU rRNA". It matches the Rfam family "Bacterial small subunit ribosomal RNA", at positions 8 to 700 of the family's 1533-position model. The record is from RNAcentral.